Long non-coding RNA from Symphalangus syndactylus (siamang), 1798 nucleotides. RefSeq lists it as uncharacterized. Lineage: Eukaryota; Metazoa; Chordata; Mammalia; Primates; Hylobatidae. The record is from RefSeq and is a predicted model, not a curated record.
CGCAAUGCAGCAAAGCAGAAGCAGACAACUAGGCACAAAGCAACAGAGUUUUAAAGUUUUCUUCUCCGGCUACUACUUAGCAUGUCUUACUUGAGGAGUAUUUACCUUUGUUUAGCCAGGAGCAGAGAUGCAUCCUGAAUGUACACGAUGGCUUCUAACUUGGCAGCGUGAAUUUUCAGCUGAGCAGGUACUGCUCGGAGACUUGUAACCAAACCGCCUCUGUUGGAGCACGGCUGGUUUCCCACCAUGUGUGUGAAUAGUUUGGGGGCUUCUUAUGCCACACUGCUCUACCUGCAGGAAUAAAGGCUAGGACAAAGGAGAGGAUGCUUGCCAUGGUUUGUCUGGCUGGGGCCUGUGCGAGCGACUCACCGCACUGAUGCUGUGUGACUCCCCAGCUCACAUUUAAGGCUGGUCACGGGGCUGGCGCAGAUCCCCACUCCUCAGUUAGAGCACGGUUUAAAGGAGAAACCAGACUCCCUGACCUAAAUCACUCCCAGUCCUCUCUGGAUGCGGGACAGCUGUCGACUAGCAGUGACACAACCAGCCAUCAAGUGGAGAAUCGUUGCGACUGCAGUCUGUGUGCAGGUGGAGCCCGGGAGAAUGACAGUCUAAUUUCGGUCAUCCAAUGGCUUUUUCUUAUUUUUCUAAAUAAUCGUGCUCGCUAAGUAUACAGUUGUCUGGAUUAGCCUGCCUGCCAUGCAGUCCUCAUCAACUCUGGCUGGAAAUCAGGGUGCCAGGCAAGCCGCCUUUAGCUCUGGCUCCUUUCUGCGUGAUGCUAUGCAGCUAGGAUGGGUCAUGCUGACAACAAAGAAGGAAGCAGAAAGCAUCACUUUCUCUUCUCUUGUGAUGUUAGCGGAACAUAACUCUUCUUCGCAGUGAUGCCCUUGUGUGUGUGUGUGUGUGUGUGUGUUUUAAUUCAUCUAAUCGAAGAGCCUAACAAAUAUCAUCAUGGAUGUGAUUUUUAAUGAUUUGGAAAAAACAAAAAAAGACAGCCUGUGGAAACAGCGAUUCGAAACAGCGGCACAUUUAGGUUAUUGCCAAUUUGAAAUACUUGGUUUGUGAAGCUGAGCCCUAAGGGACAAGCUCGGUAACUGAGGAAGAGAUCGUAGAUAAAGAAAUAAAAAUGACAAGCGUAAUGGAGGCUCUGCGAAAGGACUGUCAGAGCAUCAGUUCAUGGAUGGCAAUUUCACCAGGCUGAGAUUGAAUAAUUCAUAGAUUGAAAUUACCCUGCUUUCACCUUUCCAUUUAAACCGGCAUGAUCUGAAUCUCUAAUAAAUUUUCAAGAUAAAGUAAAAUGCCAAUUUGAAUCUGAAGAGCUUUUAAAACCAGAUGCUGCAUCCCUGAAUCUUUCGGUAUCUUUCACAAUUAUCCUAUGAGAACAGCACUUCAUCACGAAGCACCAUUACCAGGGAAAAUUACUGUGAUUACAAUAGCAACAAUAGAACACGAUCAAAUGAUCUCUAAUUUACCUAAUUUGCUAAGACUGACUGUGUGGUUUUGAUAUCCAUUGUAUGUCACCAUGCCCGGCACCCGUGAAGCUAUCUCGCGCUGGAACAAAAGUGGCAUCGUGUGUGUGUGUGUGUGUGUGUGCACGCACACCCUGCUACCUUAACUGUGAAUGCCUAGCAAAGAAUAUUCUCGUUAGAAAUCCUCUCAGGGAAGUUUAGUCCUGGUGUGAUGCGUCAAAAACCUCUCAGAUUGCAAAGAAGCUCAGGAGAUACAAUCAGUAAUAACUCUGUACAGCUUUUAUUAAAAGCAUGCAUGUUCAAUUCAGUGAUUAAAUGAAGCUUCGGUACAA